CGUAGGCGGGGACGCGACCCAGGCGCACCCAGAAACCCUUUGUGAACUUAUACCUUACUGUUGCCUCGGCGCUAGCUGGUCCUCCGGGGCCCCUCACCCUCGGGUGUUGAGACAGCCCGCCGGCGGCCAACCUAACUCUUGUUUUUACACUGAAACUCUGAGAAUAAAGCAUAAAUGAAUCAAAACUUUCAACAACGGAUCUCUUGGUUCUGGCAUCGAUGAAGAACGCAGCGAAAUGCGAUAAGUAAUGUGAAUUGCAGAAUUCAGUGAAUCAUCGAAUCUUUGAACGCACAUUGCGCCCUCUGGUAUUCCGGAGGGCAUGCCUGUUCGAGCGUCAUUUCAACCCUCAAGCCUGGCUUGGUGAUGGGGCACUGCUUUUACCCAAAAGCAGGCCCUGAAAUUCAGUGGCGAGCUCGCCAGGACCCCGAGCGCAGUAGUUAAACCCUCGCUCUGGAAGGCCCUGGCGGUGCCCUGCCGUUAAACCCCCAACUUCUGAAAAUUUGACCUCGGAUCAGGUAGGAAUACCCGCUGAACUUAAGCAUAUCAAUAAGCGGAGGAAAUU
This 562-nucleotide ribosomal RNA is filed under the name Diaporthe sp. qqhe-M. Its description in RNAcentral is "eukaryotic LSU rRNA". The stretch from base 184 to 337 matches the Rfam family "5.8S ribosomal RNA". Lineage: Eukaryota; Fungi; Ascomycota; Sordariomycetes; Diaporthales; Diaporthaceae. The record is from RNAcentral.